GACGAGGUGGCCGAGUGGUUAAGGCGAUGGACUGCUAAUCCAUUGUGCUCUGCCCACGUGGGUUCGAAUCCAUCCUCGUCG
Molecule: transfer RNA, 81 nt
Filed under: Trichonephila clavata
Lineage: Eukaryota; Metazoa; Arthropoda; Arachnida; Araneae; Nephilidae
Rfam family: tRNA
About the family: Transfer RNA (tRNA) molecules are approximately 80 nucleotides in length. Their secondary structure includes four short double-helical elements and three loops (D, anti-codon, and T loops).
Source: Rfam by way of RNAcentral